This 536-nucleotide ribosomal RNA is filed under the name uncultured soil bacterium. RNAcentral's name for it is "bacterial SSU rRNA". It matches the Rfam family "Bacterial small subunit ribosomal RNA", at positions 9 to 549 of the family's 1533-position model. The record is from RNAcentral.
GAGUUAGAUCCUGGCUCAGAUUGAACGCUAAAGGGAUGCCUUACUCAUCCAAGUCGAACGGCAGCACGGACUUCGGUCUGGUGGCGAUUUGCGAACGGGUGAGUAAUGUAUCGGAACGUGCCCAGUAGCGGGGGAUAAAUACGCGAAGGCGUAGCUAAUACCGCAUACGCCCUACGGGGGAAAGCGGGGGAUCGCAAGACCUCGCACUAUUGGAUCGGCCGAUAUCGGAUUAGCUUGUUGGUAGGGUAAAGGCCUACCAAGGCAGUGAUCCGUAGCUGGUUUGAGAGGACGACCAGCCACACUGGGACUGAGACACGGCCCAGACUCCUACGGGAGGCAGCAGAGGGGAAUUUUGGACAAUGGGGGAAACCCUGAUCCAGCCAUCCCGCGUGUGCGAUGAAGGCCUUCGGGUUGUAAAGCACUUUUGGCAGGGAAGAAACGGCGCUGGUUAAUACCUGGCGCAACUGACGGUACCUGCAGAAUAAGCACCGGGUAACUAUGUGCCAGCAGCCGCGGUGGUGCGGCCCUUUGACUGU